RNAcentral lists this ribosomal RNA (256 nucleotides) under Edwardsiella anguillarum. Its description in RNAcentral is "partial 23S ribosomal RNA". It matches the Rfam family "Bacterial large subunit ribosomal RNA", at positions 2693 to 2925 of the family's 2925-position model. Lineage: Bacteria; Pseudomonadati; Pseudomonadota; Gammaproteobacteria; Enterobacterales; Hafniaceae. The record is from RNAcentral.
CGGAGUGGACGCACCGCUGGUGUUCGGGUUGUGAUGCCAAUUGCAUUGCCCGGUAGCUACGUGCGGAAAAGAUAAGCGCUGAAAGCAUCUAAGCGCGAAACUUGCCUCGAGAUGAGUCUUCCCUUGGACCUUGAGUCCACUGAAGGAACGUUUAAGACUAAGACGUUGAUAGGCUGGGUGUGUAAGCGUAGCGAUACGUUGAGCUAACCAGUACUAAUGAUCCGUGAGACUUAACCUUACAACACCGAAGGUGUUU